CUCUAUCCGCUGUGGGCGCAAGGGAUUUGAGAGGAGCUGCCCCUAGUACGAGAGGACCGGGGUGGACAGACCUCUGGUGUGCCAGUUGUCGUGCCAACGGCAUUGCUGGGUAGCCAACGUCUGGCAGAGAUAACCGCUGAAAGCAUCUAAGUGGGAAACUCGCCUCUAGAUUAGAUCCCUCAUCCUGUUAAGGGAGUAAGAUCGCAGGUAGACUACCUGCUUGAUAGGCGGCGUGUGUAAGCGCAGUAAUGUGUUAAGCUAAGCCGUACUAAUGAUCGAGGGCUUCAUUGCG
RNAcentral lists this ribosomal RNA (292 nucleotides) under Pelolinea sp. Its description in RNAcentral is "partial 23S ribosomal RNA". It matches the Rfam family "Bacterial large subunit ribosomal RNA", at positions 2636 to 2925 of the family's 2925-position model. Lineage: Bacteria; Bacillati; Chloroflexota; Anaerolineae; Anaerolineales; Anaerolineaceae. The record is from RNAcentral.